RNAcentral lists this long non-coding RNA (715 nucleotides) under Pogona vitticeps (central bearded dragon). RNAcentral describes it as "lncRNA (ENSPVIG00000022601.1)". The record is from RNAcentral. Lineage: Eukaryota; Metazoa; Chordata; Lepidosauria; Squamata; Agamidae.
GGGGGGGAACCGUCGGACGCAGAAGAGAUGGCGGCGGACAUCAAGAGAGCUGGCCGGUGGUGGCAGGAGAAACAGUACAAAGAGAAAGCAAUGGCUUUAUCGGAAGAUACGUCCACGAGCUAAGGGCUCUAUGGAGAUCUUGGUGGGGUUAAAAUCCCGUGAUCCUUGAUAUAACCACUAAACGUUACCACACAGAGAGGAAGAACCAACCAUCACGGAGCAGUCUUAUGGUGAAAGGUAUAAGUACCCCAACAUUCUUUAAAGCAAGAUAGAAACCAGAGAAUUAUCUCCAGCUUGCAGCUUCUGAAUUUCAAAAUAAUUCAUCCCGUCUUCUGUGGAGGAUACAAAGCAGGGCGAGAACCUGGCUCUUCAGGCAGAAAAGACUGGUGGUGUUUUGGAGCCUCAGUAAGUAUACCUGGCGGAGAUCGAUUUAGAUUAAGCUCUACAGUCUUUCUGAAAUCCUGCCUGGGUCAGGGAGGUGUGAAUAUCUGCACCUGCUCUGUCUUCCCAAUAAUGAAUUUACUAUGUUGAUGGGGAAGAUUUGAAGGGAAGCUGUAUAACCAGGACACCUGUGCAAUCUCUUCUGAACUGUGUUCAGCUAAACACAGUUAUAGUUUCUCUUACAAACUUUCUCAACAACAAAAGCAGUUCGGAAGAGCAAUUUUUAAAAGAAAUCUGUCUUUGAAGAAGACUCACUAAAUGGAUCAUUCUCAUC